GUACGCUGGCGGCAUGCUCUCACACAUUGAAAGUUGAACGGGUUUAAGUCUAUUAAACCUUAAACAAGUAGCGGACGGGUGAGUAACGCGUAAGAACCUACCUUUAGGUAAGGAAUAACUAUUGGAAACGAUAGAUAAUACCUUAUAAGCUUAUAGUAAAAGAUAAAAUCGCCUAAGGAUGGGCUUGCGUCUGAUUAGCUUGUUGGUGAUUUAAAAGAUUCACCAAGGCAACGAUCAGUAGUUGGUCUAAGAGGAUGAUCAACCACACUGGGACUGAGACACGGCCCAGACCUCUACGGAGGGCAGCAGUGAGGAAUUUUCCGCAAUGGGCGAAAGCCUGACGGAGCAAUGCCGCGUGGAGGAUGAAAGCUUGUGAGUCGUAAACUCCUUUUCUUAGUGAAGAAAUAAGACGGUAUCUAAGGAAUAAGCAUCGGCUAACUCCGUGCCAGCAGACCGCGGUAAUACGGAGGAUGC
RNAcentral lists this ribosomal RNA (474 nucleotides) under uncultured phototrophic eukaryote. RNAcentral describes it as "bacterial SSU rRNA". It matches the Rfam family "Bacterial small subunit ribosomal RNA", at positions 31 to 535 of the family's 1533-position model. The record is from RNAcentral.